GUGAGCUCACAGGAAGAUGAAGAACUAGUCUGGGGAAUAGGAAGAAGUUCAGAGUUCACGUUUUUUGACUUUUCACAAGUAUCAGAUGCAACAAGUAACUUCUCAGAUGAAAAUAAAUUGGGACAAGGUGGUUUUGGCCCAGUAUACAAGGGUCAGCUACCGAAAGGAUCGGAGGUAGCAAUUAAGAGACUAGCUUCACAGUCAGGGCAAGGUUUCACCGAGUUCAAAAAUGAAGUCCAACUCAUAGCUAAGCUCCAGCACACCAAUUUGGUUAGACUCUUGGGAUGUUGCUCUCAAGGAGAGGAGAAAAUAUUGAUAUAUGAAUAUUUGCCAAAUAAAAGCUUGGACUUCUUUAUCUUUGAUGAAACUAAAAAGGCUUUAUUAAAAUGGGACAAAAGAAAAGCGAUUAUCGAAGGGAUAGCACAAGGACUUCUAUAUCUGCAUAAGCACUCUCGGUUACGUGUCAUACAUAGGGAUCUUAAAGCAAGCAACAUUCUUUUGGACAGUGAAAUGAAUCCUAAAAUAUCAGAUUUUGGGCUUGCAAAAAUAUUCAGCUCAAAUGAUACUGAAGGGAACACAAAAAGGAUUGCUGGGACAUAUGGGUAUAUGGCUCCUGAGUAUGCUUCAGAGGGUCUCUUCUCGAUCAAAUCUGAUGUAUUCAGCUUUGGUGUGCUGAUUCUCGAGAUCAUCAAUGGAAAAAGAAACUCAUGUUUCCAUCAAAAUGGGGACUUCUUCAAUCUUCUCGGAUAUGCAUGGAAGUUGUGGAAAGAGGAAAGAUGGCUGGAGUUCGUCGAUGAAUCAAUAGUUUCAGAGUCUGACGUGUUAGAGACAAUGAGGUGUAUCAACAUCGCAUUGCUGUGUGUGCAAGAGAAUGCAGCUGAUAGACCCAGCACAACAAGUUUGGUUGCAAUGCUAAGCAGUGAAAGUAUGACCCUGCCUGAACCUAAGCAUCCGGCGUAUUUCCACAUAAGGGUAACGGAGGAAGAGCCACCUAGUGCUAAUGAUGUGACGAUGUCUGCUCUACAGGGCAGAUAG
Molecule: ribosomal RNA, 1035 nt
Filed under: Triticum aestivum (bread wheat)
Lineage: Eukaryota; Viridiplantae; Streptophyta; Magnoliopsida; Poales; Poaceae
Description: partial small subunit ribosomal RNA
Source: RNAcentral